CCUACGGGCGGCAGCAGUGGGGAAUAUUGCACAAUGGGGGAAACCCUGAUGCAGCGACGCCGCGUGAGUGAAGAAGUAAUUCGUUAUGUAAAGCUCUAUCAGCAGGGAAGAAAAUGACGGUACCUGACUAAGAAGCCCCGGCUAACUACGUGCCAGCAGCCGCGGUAAUACGUAGGGGGCAAGCGUUAUCCGGAUUUACUGGGUGUAAAGGGAGCGUAGACGGCAGUGCAAGUCUGGAGUGAAAUGCGAGGGCUUAACCAUGGAACUGCUUGGGAAACUGUGCAGCUGGAGUGCAGGAGAGGUAAGUGGAAUUCCUAGUGUAGCGGUGAAAUGCGUAGAUAUUAGGAGGAACACCAGUGGCGAAGGCGGCUUACUGGACUGUAACUGACGUUGAGGCUCGAAAGCGUGGGGAGCAAACAGGAGUAGAUACCCCAGUAGUC
This 440-nucleotide ribosomal RNA is filed under the name uncultured bacterium. RNAcentral describes it as "partial 16S ribosomal RNA". It matches the Rfam family "Bacterial small subunit ribosomal RNA", at positions 338 to 795 of the family's 1533-position model. The record is from RNAcentral.